This 457-nucleotide RNase P RNA is filed under the name Omnitrophica WOR_2 bacterium RIFCSPHIGHO2_02_FULL_48_11. RNAcentral's name for it is "RNase P RNA component class A". It matches the Rfam family "Bacterial RNase P class A". From Rfam's summary of the family: Ribonuclease P (RNase P) is a ubiquitous endoribonuclease, found in archaea, bacteria and eukarya as well as chloroplasts and mitochondria. Its best characterised activity is the generation of mature 5'-ends of tRNAs by cleaving the 5'-leader elements of precursor-tRNAs. The record is from RNAcentral. Lineage: Bacteria; Pseudomonadati; Candidatus Omnitrophota.
AGAGCAGACCAAGGUGGUUGCCUCGGUGUUUCACACCGGGGAGGAAAGUCCGAGCUCCGCAGGAUAAUGUAUCCCGGUAAUGCGGGACGUUAUUCAGCGGGUAGCGGGUAGAACCGCUAAACGCUGAGUAAAGGGAUUUCCGCCAUCCGCCAAAAUUUGUGGCGGAGCGGACCCGCUAAGUUGUUUGGCGGGAGAGCUACAGUGACGAUGCUUUACAGCUUAUCGCUGUAAGGAGUGAAACGAGCAAUCUCUACAUGGAGCAAGGCCAAAUAGGGAAAGACCUCCGUCGCUUUGCUUCGCAAAGCGAAGCAGCGGAGGGCGAGGUCAUCCGCCUCGCCACUAUUUCCGGGUAGGCCGCAAGAGUCAGGAGAGCAAUCUCUUGAGUGAGUGGGAUAACCGCCCAUCAUGCCUAAAACAUCAUGGGGUACAUAACUCGGCUUAUUGGUCUGCUCGUAAA